This 3001-nucleotide ribosomal RNA is filed under the name Capsicum chinense (habanero). RNAcentral describes it as "bacterial LSU rRNA". The stretch from base 358 to 3001 matches the Rfam family "Eukaryotic large subunit ribosomal RNA". The record is from RNAcentral. Lineage: Eukaryota; Viridiplantae; Streptophyta; Magnoliopsida; Solanales; Solanaceae.
UUAGAUGAAAUCAAACUAUCUUACUAAGAUAAACCUUAGAAACAAGGAUCGACAAUUAAAUUUAAAAUUACUAUUGUCUUUAUCUUUUCCUAAUCACUACUUUUUUUUUUGUAGUAAGUAGCAAUAAUCUAGGCGGGAUCCUAAUAUGUGCACCCGUUACAAAAGCUAUUAUCAUGAAGAUAACACAAUACAUGCAUAGGUAUCAAUUCAGAACAACAAUAGCACUUCCCCUACUUCGUCAAUCCACUAGAGUUUCCAGAACCCUACCUAUGGGUUUUAGCCGCUCAUGUUUGUGAAGAAAUCAGUAACAUUCAUAGAUGAGAGCCUAGAUGAAAUCAUAAUGAUGAGAAGUGUAAGAACCCAUAACUAUAACUGAAUUAAUCAACUGAAGUCAAUACAAGAGAAUCCCAAGAUCAAAAUCAAAUCUUGGAAUCAAAAUAUGUUUAUGAAUAUCUAAAGUGCAUAACUCCUACUAAAAACACACAUAAAAGGUAUUUAUAGUACAAGAGGAAACCUUAAAACCAAAGUCCGAAUAAAAUAGGAGAAAACUGGGUCGGUGGCUAUAGUGGUCUGUACAUGCACCCUAGCCUUGGGCGCAGGUAGUACCUGCAGCCCUGUACAGGGCGCAUGUUGCAUAUGGAAAAAUCCCACUAGUCAGCUUCUAGGGAUUUUGGACUUCUGGCACUUGCUUUGCCUACCUGCGUUCUGUAGGUCCUACAUACGGUCCAUAUGUUGACUUAGUAAGCAUUAGGAGUCAUCUUUUUAGAUCUUCUCCAAUUCCCUAACAUGAUUUGAUCAUUAACAAGCCAGAAAGUAUCUCGAAAAUCCAUAAUUGCUCUAAAAAAUAGCCAAAACACCAUUUUUCUUUUUUUUUUUCAUGAGCUUAUUAUCCAAAACAUGAUUUUCUUCAAAAUAUACCCAAAACUCAUCAUAUCUAACAAAAUAACCUUAGAAACUUGCAUAUUUUUCCCGUUUUAAGCAUUAAAAGUAAAAUAUUUCUAUAGCACAUCAUGUGCUUAAGUACGCGACCUACACCCUUUCAUCGGGGAAAGUACCAGGACUCGAUGAGUAGAAGGGCACGACGGUCGGUGCAAAACCUUAGGCGUGAGCUCGGGCGGAGUGAUCAUCGAUGCAUAUCUUAAUGGUAGUAGCAACUAUUCAAAUGAGAACUUUGAAGGCCGAAGAGGGGAGAUGUUCCAUCUAAACGACACUUGCACAUGGCUUAGUUGAUCCUAAGGAUCAGGGAACCCCGACAGAUAGCAUAUUUCGCGUGUACUCCGAACGAGAAUUAAUUCAAAAUUCUUGAAUCAGGAUGUGGCGGUUGAUGACAAUGUUAGGAAGUACAGAGACGUCGGUGGGAGCCUUGAGAAGAGUUAUCUUUUCUGUUUUACAAUCGGUCUACCCUAGAAUCGACUUAGUCAGAGGUAGGGUCCAGCAGUUGAAAGAGCACCACACAUUGUAUGGUGUUUGGUGCACUCCCGAUGGCCCUUAAAAAUCUAGAGAAUCAAGUAUCAUCCAAUGUCGAUCAUACUCAUAAAUGCAUUAGGUCUCUAAGGUAAAUAACCUUUGGUCGGUGGAACAAUAUGGGUAAGGAAAGUUGGCAAAAUAGAUCCAUAACUUUGGAAAAAAAGAUCAGCUCUGAGGGCUGGGCACAGGGGUCCUAGUCCCAAACCCAUUGGCUAUCAAUGGACUGCUUAAGCUUCUCCCAUAAAUAGAGUGGUUCAUCGCGUGCCGGCUCGGGGAUGAUCUGGGAAUGAUUCCUUCGGGUUCCCUGCGUGUCAAACAACAAACUUAGAAAUUGUACGGACAAGGAGAAUCCAACUAUUUAAUUAAAAAAAGCAUUACGAUAGUCCCAAUGAAUGUUCACGUAAUAUGAUUUCUGCCUAGUGCUCUGAAUGUCAAAGUGAAAAAAUUCAACCAAGUGCAAGUAAACGAUAGGAGUAGCUAUGACUCUCUUAAGGUAGCCAAAUGCCUCUUCAUCUAAUUAUUGACGCACAUGAAUGGAUUAAACAGAUUCCCACUAUCCCUGUCUACUAUCCAACGAAACUACAACCAAGUGAACGGGCUUGGUAGAAUCAGCGGGGAAAGAAGACUAGUCUCUAACUUUGGGAAAUGACUUGAUAAGUGUAGUAUAAGUUGGAGACGAAAGGCGAAAGUGAAAUACCAUGAAUUUAAAUGUUAUUUUACUUAUUUUGUGAACUGAAAGUGGCGCAUUGCUCUUUUUGGACCCAUAACUCGCUCCACGGUCCGAUCUAGGCAAAAACAUUGUCAGAUGGGGAGUUUGGAUGGGGCGGAACUUCUGUUAAAGAUAACGCAAGUGUCUUAAGAUGAUCUCAAUGAGAACUAAAAUAUUAUAUGGAACAAAAGGGUAAAAGCUCAUUUGAUUCUAAUGUCUAGUAUAAAUAUGAACCGUGAAAGCAUGUUCUAACAAUCCUUUAGACCUUUAGAAUUUGAAGUUAGAGGUGUCAGAAAAGUUACCAUAGGGAUAACUGGUUUGUGGUAGCCAAGAGUUCAUAGCGAUUUUACUUUUUGAUCCUUUGAUGUCAGCUCUUCCUAUUAUUAUGAAGCAAAAUUCACCAAGUAUUGGAUUGUUCACCUACCAAUAGGGAAUGUGAGAUGAAUUUAGAUUGUCGUGAGACAGGUUAGUUUUACCCAAUCGAUGACAGUGUCACAAUAGUAAUUCAACCUAGUAUGAGAGGAACCAUUGAUUUACACAAUUAGUCAUCACGCUUGGUUAGCACGAAACUACCAUUUGCUGGAUUAUGAUUAAAUACCUCUAAGUCAGAAUUAGGGAUAAAAGCAAUGCAUGCACCUUCUGUCCGCUUACCAACUCGCAAUAGGUACCUCAGAACCCAAGGACAUGUGUUAUUGGCUAAGCCAUCACGGCGGAAGGGUCGCGGUGGCCAUAUUAAAGUACAAUCUUGAAACACCCUGGGUUCUGGUCCUUAGAAAAUUUCUCAAUUUUGUGCUUCUAGACAUCAAAUGACUUGGGUACUUAUCG